Mercenaria mercenaria is the source of this 795-nucleotide long non-coding RNA. RefSeq lists it as uncharacterized. NCBI's taxonomy places the organism in Eukaryota, Metazoa, Mollusca, Bivalvia, Venerida, Veneridae. The record is from RefSeq and is a predicted model, not a curated record. The transcript has 3 exons.
AUGAUCUUGCUAAAUAUUCUUUUGCUUGCAAACUCUGUUUAUGGAUCUGAAAAGAAGGGCGUGGGUGCAUAUCCUGGAAAUCUUUUGUGUGAUGACUUCAAAGUUUUGAACAACAUGUCAUGGUGGUAUGACUGGAGUAUGGACCUGUCGUUUUGGCAUGAAAAAGUGUCAAAAGUGUGUCCACCUUCCACGGACCAGUCAAUGCCGCCACAUAUUCCAAUGGUAAAGAGAUACAACAACCACACAGUUCUUAAUAUACAAGGAGAUGCACCGUUUAUUUUGGGUUUCAACGAGCCCCAUCGCCAUGGUAUGACCCCACAGCAAGCCGCUGAUGUCUGGCCGGAAAUAGAAAAGCACUCUCAUGGAAAACCUCUUGUCAGUCCUGCACCAGCUGCUCAAAAUUUUCACUGGAGCGAUGAGUUCUUUAGGUUAUGCCAUGGUUGUCGUAUAGAUUAUGUCGCUGCGCAUGUGUACAGUUGCGAUGCCCAUCAUGUUAUGUCAUUCCUGCAGAAACUGUAUCAUAGAUAUAACAAGAAAGUAUGGCUGACAGAGUUCGCGUGCCCGCACUCUACAGACGAAAAUUAACAGUUACAUUUAAUGCAGACUUUAUUGCCCCAACUAGAAGCCGCAGAUUACGUUUAUAGGUAUGCUUGGUUCUCUGCCAGAAGAUUGAAAAAUUCUUUUGUAAAUCCGGUGGUAAGUUUGUUACACCAGAAUUCCUCAACUUUGACGACCAUUGGCCACUUCUAUAACAAUUUUCAAGGAAAUGGGCACAACGCGCAUAUUGUUGGGUGA